RNAcentral lists this non-coding RNA (102 nucleotides) under Halobacillus karajensis. RNAcentral describes it as "TPP sequence". It matches the Rfam family "TPP riboswitch aptamer (THI element)". From Rfam's summary of the family: Vitamin B(1) in its active form thiamin pyrophosphate (TPP) is an essential coenzyme that is synthesised by coupling of pyrimidine and thiazole moieties in bacteria. The previously detected thiamin-regulatory element, thi box was extended, resulting in a new, highly conserved RNA secondary structure, the THI element, which is widely distributed in eubacteria and also occurs in some archaea. Analysis of operon structures identified a large number of new candidate thiamin-regulated genes, mostly transporters, in various prokaryotic organisms. The record is from Rfam by way of RNAcentral. Lineage: Bacteria; Bacillati; Bacillota; Bacilli; Caryophanales; Bacillaceae.
AAAGCCUUCAAGGGGAGCCUUCCGGCUGAGAGUGAACGGAUAUGUUCUGACCCUUCGAACCUGUCAGUUAAUACUGGCGUAGGGAUGGCGGCUUUUUUGAUG